Chlorocebus sabaeus (green monkey) is the source of this 704-nucleotide non-coding RNA. Lineage: Eukaryota; Metazoa; Chordata; Mammalia; Primates; Cercopithecidae. The record is from RefSeq and is a predicted model, not a curated record.
AAAAAUUAUAUAUACACACACACACACACACACACACACACACACACACACUUGGUGACACAGGUUUGUUAUGUGCACCUGGAAAUAGGUAGAUCUUUAUUCCCCUCCCUCAACUCCCCUUGUUUCAGAAACACAAGGUUGACUUCAGUUCAGAAAAUGGCCAGCUCUUCCCACUACCCUUCCUGUUGAGAGCUACAGAGUGCUGUUGUCUUACCUACUCCACAGUAUUACAUCUUUUGCUGUGUCGGGUAGGAGGCUUCAAAUACCAGAAAGCAAUACAUGCAAAAAGGAACUAGGGGUUUGGAAGUGAGAAGAAUGGGAUAUUUAGUAAGUGGGGACAGAGACAUAAGAAUAAUAUUAGAUGAAACAUGCUAGAUAUUAACAUCUAAGCUACUAAGAGACCAUUAAAUAUUUACAGAAUAAGUUCAAAGUAAUGUCUACAUUGCAUUGACUACAAAUUUUCUGGUUAGAUUGCUCCCCUUAGAAAAUGAAAAAAACAACUAUCUAAAAGAAAAAAAAUUAUUGUAACUUUUGAAAAAAUACCACUAGAUAGGGUAAAGUAACAUUAUCCAAAAGACUCAAAAAACCAAAGUAAAAAUUCUGAAAAUGAUUACCUAAAUCAGAAGAAAAUUUCUAAAAGUCAGUAGACUCAGAAGAAUGCUAGAAAACAUACUCUCUAAAACAGAAAAAAAAAAAAGCCACAA